GGGGCUGAAGAGGGGGAGGGGGGGGGUAGCGAAAAGGAGAGUGCACCAUAAAACUGAAUGAAUUCUGCUGCAGUAAAAAGGGGCAGUUAUUCCCCUCUCUCUUUUCUCCCUCUCUCUCCCUCUCUCUCUCUCUUUGUUCCUCUCUCCUCAAGCGAUGUCAAAUUAAUUCGCUGGAGGUCAAAUUAUUCCAGCUGUUGCCAUGCUGGGGAGGAAGGGGGGGUUAAGAUGCUUCAGAGAAGACACACAUUCACAGCAAGAAAAGCCAUGCGCAGCAUCUAUGUUGUUAACCUUUUUCUCUAUUCAAAGAAAUGCACCACUCUCCUCCUGCCCCCUCCUCUCCCGUGAGCUCUCACUGGCCCUCCCCCUCUCCAUCCUACUACUCUCUCUCCGGCUCUCUCUCUCUCCUUCACUUUCUCUUCCUCGCUCGCUCUCAUAUUCCGCAUAAAGGAAUCACAUUUCAUUGAAGGAGGAGAAUCAAGGCUUCAUUUCUUCCUCCUCUUCCUCAUCUCACAACCUGGUCAUAUCCCCCCUCCCCCGUCCUCCCCCGUCCUCCCCCCUCAUCACUGCAUUUCACUCUGUGUUUGGCUUCACUCAUCUUCCAUUACCAUUCUUUCUCAAAGUGAGCUUCAUUCACUUUGGGUCAACUGCUCAGAUCUUUGCUUCCUUUCAUGUCACUGCAGUUUUUUCUUUCUUACUUGUUAUCUGUGUUUACUCAGUUGUUUUGAUUAUUUACCUGCACUUUCUAUCUGAAGAAACAACUUUUUGUUGGGAGAAAGUUUGCUGGCUCCCUUUCCUCUUCAGAUCUUUCAUUGGCAUUAAGUCAUUUUUUAUUUUUUUGUCUUGGUUGGAAGUUCCUGGGAUUUAACAACUCAGAAUUUUUUCAGAUCUGCUUGCUUGCAAAAAAAAAAAAAUCCUGCACUCACGAGUUUCAGAGUUGUACUGCAUCAUUCCGCAAAAGAGUUGUCCUGAUUCUGCAACUGAAAACUAAAGAAAAAUCAGCACGAUUCUGCAUUAAGGAAGUAAUGACGACGGCCAUACGACCUAAAAGUGAACAACGUGGAAUUGGGGUCAGCACUUCUCCUGUGGGGCGCUGCAGCAGGAUGGAUUACAUUUCAGCACCAUGGACAGUGGCACCGUCCUUCUCUCUGGGACAAACUCUCCUCUUACGGGAUGCUGGACGUUCUAUUAUCGGACUGUGGAACUUUUCUCCAUUGGACACUUUUUGUUCCUGGUGUGACACCUCCGUUGCCCUCACUUGUUCUUCAUAGGAAGCCGCGGCUUUUUGGUGAACUGCUGAAUAUUUUAUGUGCUGACAUCAAAAGCUCCCACAUGCUCACUGUGCCGGACAGCCGCACCAUUUUGUCUCCAGGUUCCUUGACUUUGCCAUCAUCGGGUACCUGGCAGCAGAGGAGCAGGUGGGUUCUAUCUCAGUGGGGAGUAAAAAGAAAUCCCAAUAAUGACAGUAAAGACGAAGAAGAGGAGGGAACACUGUCUUUGCACCGGAGGCAGUUUUUGCUCUAAACAAACGUUAAGGAAUGUCUUCUCUUUUUUUUUUUGAUGAGAUUCCUGGGACCCAAGACACGCAGGAACAAUAUCACACUAGAUUGGGAAAUAUCCAACCAAGGUUUUUGCAGGAGGCCUGAAGGUCUGAGCCCAAGUGCAAUGAUCAUCAAUGCUGCUGCUGCGCUUAUUGUCAGGGAACUCCGAGUGAAGAGCAACACAGCCUCAUGAAUAUACAACAGAGGUAAAGGUGUUUGCUUAUAGGUGCUUGUACCAAAAGUCAAGAAGAAAGGAGAAACUUCUGCACGAAGAAUUCAAACCACACACGGGUUUGUAAAUGUGUCCUAUCCCUUUAUACUGUUCUACUGGAGCUGAGGCCAAAACAAACAACACUCGGCUCUGCAGAGUUUCCAAACCAGCUAACUCGCAUGUGUUGAGACUGGAGGAAAACCAAGUGGACAAAACGCUGCCAAGAUAAAGGUCAGGCGUCUAACUGCUAUGAGGUCAAACACACAUCUCCCUUGUAACUAAAAAAGCAGAGCUUUUUUCUCUAGUGAACCGUUCCUUCCAAUCAUCCAGACACGUACGCACUGGGAACUGUGUCGGCUGGGAGAGAGUGUUGGUAGAUUAUCAGGAAUGUUAAACUAUACUGCAAGAUUCACAGGUUUCUUUCUAUUAGGAUGUACUCAUGCACCGUGGGGACAAGGGCCACAUUUGAAUAUCAGCAUGAAAACAUUCUCGCUGGGAUUUAGCAGGAUUCAGCAAGUUACCAUGCGAACGCUUGCAAAUGAUCAACUAAACACAAAUUAGGUUGAAGUGAAACCAAAGCAUCGGGCAAAUGCGGAUGUUCGCUGCCAAGACAUCAGAAUUAUGUAUCAAGAGGCCUUGAAUAGCAUCCGUUGGCUUGGAAAAGUCAGGAGGUCGGCUCAAGCCAUUCGGGGGCGUCUCCUCGGGGGAACACGGACGCCCCGACAUCACGUCCUGGCUUCCAAUCCGGAUUUUUGUUGACGCACUAACGCCGCCGUCCGUGGAACCCUGCUGCUAAAAGGAGAACAGACGCCGCAGGAAGUUGGUCUACGGGAAAGAGGCCGACAGCGUUUCUUCAUCAGCCUGCAUGAAUACUGAAUGUUGAACCUUGUUUGUUUGGAGGGAGGGAGGGAGGGAGGGAGGACGCGAGCAGCAGACCCGAGAAGGCUCGGUGGAGAUGGAGUGGAUGUUCUCAGCAUUCUUUCCCGUUGGCCCGUGUGCAGUUACAAAUGACGGUGCAAAGACUAAUUGAGGAGGAGAAACCAGUGGUUCAAUGGUCUCCACUGACUUAUCAUCCAAAAAAAGACGUGUCCCGCGACCGCCGUCCGUGCUCAGACGUGAAAUAACGUCGAGCGGAAGCUGCUUGCAAUUGGGAACGUGAAGUAGAUUUUUGAUGACAAAACGCACGAGCCAAAGUUUGCAGAGCUGCCGGUUGUAUGCGGCUUACGAUCAUCAGUAGAAGCGGCGCAGCAGAGCGGAAGACCGUGAGCUGCAAUCUUAUUGAAUUAUGAAUCAAGUGCAACGCCAGCUCAAUGCCUCCAAAGCCGUCGUGAGGUCUGUUAGAUGCAUCCCUCUGACGUUAUUUUAAGCUCUGCGGUAUCAAACAUUGAACCACAGUCAUUUUGCCGCCGUAACAAGCGAUGAAGCGUUUUCUCUGUGGUUUCACUUGUUUAUGAAGAAUAGUCUCAGUUCUCACAUUGUGAUGCAGUAAACUCCAUGAAAGGUUCAAUGCAUUUGUUGAAACGGUUUUGAUUGAUUUAAGGGGUUUGUGGUGGAGAAAUUGUUUACAAUGUGGCAUUAAAAACAAUUUGAAAAAAUGUG
Molecule: non-coding RNA, 3348 nt
Organism: Gasterosteus aculeatus aculeatus (three-spined stickleback)
Lineage: Eukaryota; Metazoa; Chordata; Actinopteri; Perciformes; Gasterosteidae
Source: RefSeq, a predicted model, not a curated record